GCCAGCGUGACCCGAGAUCUAUCAAAAACGGAUUCAAAAUCCGCCGCUUAAUAGGCGUGUCGGUUCGAGUCCGACCACCGGCACCA
Molecule: transfer RNA, 86 nt
Filed under: Cobetia marina
Lineage: Bacteria; Pseudomonadati; Pseudomonadota; Gammaproteobacteria; Oceanospirillales; Halomonadaceae
Also listed under: 3 other names
Description: tRNA-OTHER
Source: RNAcentral